This 2559-nucleotide long non-coding RNA is filed under the name Linum usitatissimum (flax). RNAcentral describes it as "long non-coding RNA (LUSI_LNC003256)". The record is from RNAcentral. Lineage: Eukaryota; Viridiplantae; Streptophyta; Magnoliopsida; Malpighiales; Linaceae.
AUAAACACACUCUAGAAGUACCUCUCAAGUAGCGGAGGAUCCACUUCACCGCUGUCCAAUGUUCCUUUCCCGGAUUGGAAAGGAACCUACUAACAACUCCAACGGCAUGAGCGAUAUCCGGUCUUGUGCAAACCAUGGCAUACAUCAAGCUUCCAACCGCUGAUGCAUAAGGUACAUUCUUCAUUGCUUCUUUCUCUUCCUCAUUUGUAGGACAAUGCUUCAAACUUAAAUUGAAAUGUCCCGCAAGUGGAGUGCUAACUGUCUUUCCAUUCAUUCGAUCUCUAGAGAUUUUCAUCCCUAGAAUUUGCUUUGCCGGUCCUAAGUCCUUCAUAGCAAAGGACUUGCUCGACUCCUUUUUCAAUUUAUUGAUCUCUCCAACAUUUUGACCCACGAUCAACAUGUCAUCCACGUAAAGUAGGAGUAUAAAAAAAUCAUUUUCAGCAAAGUACUUCACAAACACACAAUGAUCGGAGGGUAUUCUUGAAUCACACAAUGAUCGGAGGUAGUUCUUGCAUACCCGUUUGAUCAUGAAUGAGUCAAAUUUCUUGUACCAUUGCCUUGGUGCUUGCUUCAACCCAUAUAGGCUCUUCCUCAAUCUACACAUAAGGUCUUCUUUGCCUUUAACUUCAAACCCUUGCGGUUGAUCCAUAUAGAUUUCUUCCUCCAAGUCACCAUGAAGAAACGCCGUCUUCACAUCGAGUUGUUCGACUUCUAAGUUCAAACUUGCAGCCAAUCCAAGCACAACUCGGAUUGAUGACAUCUUCACCACGGGAGAGAAAAUUUCUUCAAAAUCAACACCUUUCUUUUGGCUAGACCCCUUCACAACUAGUCGCGCCUUGUACCGAGGCUUUGAAGUAGUUUCCUCCGUCUUUAACUUGUAAACCCACUUGUUCUUAAGUGAUCUCUUUCCAUUGGGUAGCUUCACUAAAUCAUAGGUGUGAUUCUCUUUCAAAGACUUCAUCUCUUCUUGCAUUGCUUUAUUCCACUCCCCCUUGUCUUCAUGAGACAUGGCUUCUUGAAAGCAUUCGGGCUCUCCCCCGUCACUCAACAUCAUAUACUCAUUAGGAGAGUACCUUGUGGAUGUUUUACGAUCUCUUGUUGACCUUCUCAAUUGGGGUUGAGAUUGCUCUUCUUCAACUUGUUCUUCUUGCUCCAAAUGCUCAUCUUCUUGCUCUCCUUGAUCUAGUGUACCUUGGGGUUCAUGAGGCACUACUUCUUCAUCAUUUUCAUGAGUUUUGGAUGGAGAUAUAGGCUCCAAAUUAAUUGGACUAGCUGCUGGAAUUUUUUCCUUUUCACCCCUUUCGACAUCUUCACUUGUCUCCUCUUCAAGAAAAAUCACGUCCCGGCUCCGAAUAAUUUUUCUUGCGAUUGGAUCCCAUAACCGGUAUCCAAACUCUUCUCCCCAUAACCCAUGAAUAUACAUGGCUUUGCUUUAUCAUCAAGUUUCGCCCUCUCAUCUCUUGGAACAUGAACAUAUGCUUUGCAACCGAACACUCUCAAGUGCCCGUAUGAGACCUCCUUUCCCGUCCAUACUCGUUGAGGCACGUCACCCUCCAAAGGGACCGAUGGCGAGAGAUUAAUUAAGUCAACGGCUGUCCGCAUUGCUUCUCCCCAAAAAGAUUUCGGUAACUUGGCGUGUGAGAGCAUGCACUUGAUUCUCUCACAAAUUGUUCUAUUCAUCCUCUCGGCAACACCGUUAUGUUGUGCAGUCUUGGGUACACUUUUUUGAAGCUUUAUUCCGUGAAAUCGACAAUAAUUUUCGAAUGGGCCUCUAUAUUCUCCCCCAUUAUCAGCCCUUACACACUUCAACUUGAGCCCCGUUUCUCUUUCAACUUCAACAUGAAAUUGCUUGAAGACAUCUAGCACUUGAUCCUUGGUUUUCAAAGCAUAUGUCCACACCUUCCUUGAGUGAUCGUCUAUGAAAGUGACAUAAUAGCUUGCUCCCCCAAGAGUUUUAUCUCGCAUAAAACAAACAUCGGUGUGAAUUAGAUCAAGUACCUUACUCCUUCUAGAAGGUGGGAAUCUAUGAAAUGCAACUCUGAGUUUUUCCCGCUAAACAAUCAACACAAGUUUUAAGGAGAGUACCUUUAGCUCCAGACAAGAGUUGUUUCUUGGAGAGUAUUUGCAAUCCCUUCUCGCUCAAAUGACCAAGCCUCUUAUGCCAAAGCUCAAUCGAAGAGUCUUUCUCCGCAACAUUGAUUCUUCCCUUGCUAAGCUUUGCACUUGUCAUAUAGAGCGUAUUUUCCUUCUUGCCUUUAGCGACCACAAGAGAACCUCUUGAUAGCUUCCAUUUUCCUUCGCCAAAAUAAUUGGUGUAGCCAUCAUCAUCAAGCUUUUUAGUGGAUAUCAGAUUCAACCUCAUGUCGGGAAUAUGUCUCACCUCUUUCAAAACAAGUUUACAACCCGUGUUUGUCUCUAAGUGAAUGUCACCCAUGCCAACAAUCUUUGAAGCUCCAUCAUUUCCCAUCCUCACACAACCAUAGUCUCCAUUUUUGUAGGAAGAGAAGAAAUCAACUCGCGAUGUCACAUGGAAUGAGGCACCAUAAUCAACAACCCAUG